RNAcentral lists this transfer RNA (91 nucleotides) under Jeotgalicoccus meleagridis. Its description in RNAcentral is "Jeotgalicoccus sp. Do 184 tRNA-Ser". It matches the Rfam family "tRNA". Rfam says of the family: Transfer RNA (tRNA) molecules are approximately 80 nucleotides in length. Their secondary structure includes four short double-helical elements and three loops (D, anti-codon, and T loops). The record is from RNAcentral. Lineage: Bacteria; Bacillati; Bacillota; Bacilli; Caryophanales; Staphylococcaceae.
UGGACAGUUGGCCGAGCGGCUGAAGGCGCACGCCUGGAACGCGUGUAAACGGCAACCCCGUUUCGAGGGUUCAAAUCCCUCACUGUCCGUC